UUCCUAGCGAGCCCAACCUCCCACCCGUGUUUACUGUACCUUAGUUGCUUCGGCGGGCCCGCCAUUCGUGGCCGCCGGGGGCUCUCAGCCCCGGGCCCGCGCCCGCCGGAGACACCACGAACUCUGUCUGAUCUAGUGAAGUCUGAGUUGAUUGUAUCGCAAUCAGUUAAAACUUUCAACAAUGGAUCUCUUGGUUCCGGCAUCGAUGAAGAACGCAGCGAAAUGCGAUAACUAGUGUGAAUUGCAGAAUUCCGUGAAUCAUCGAGUCUUUGAACGCACAUUGCGCCCCCUGGUAUUCCGGGGGGCAUGCCUGUCCGAGCGUCAUUGCUGCCCAUCAAGCACGGCUUGUGUGUUGGGUCGUCGUCCCCUCUCCGGGGGGGACGGGCCCCAAAGGCAGCGGCGGCACCGCGUCCGAUCCUCGAGCGUAUGGGGCUUUGUCACCCGCUCUGUAGGCCCGGCCGGCGCUUGCCGAACGCAAAUCAAUCUUUUUCCAGGUUGACCUCGGAUCAGGUAGGGAUACCCGCUGAACUUAAGCAUAUCAAUAA
Molecule: ribosomal RNA, 545 nt
Filed under: Aspergillus flavus
Lineage: Eukaryota; Fungi; Ascomycota; Eurotiomycetes; Eurotiales; Aspergillaceae
Description: eukaryotic LSU rRNA
Rfam family: 5.8S ribosomal RNA (bases 171-324)
Source: RNAcentral